Molecule: long non-coding RNA, 1606 nt
Filed under: Capsicum annuum
Lineage: Eukaryota; Viridiplantae; Streptophyta; Magnoliopsida; Solanales; Solanaceae
Description: long non-coding RNA (CANN_LNC000092)
Source: RNAcentral
UCAGAUAUGUCUUGGGAAGUGGUACGGAGAAUGUUAUUUGGUUAAUAAUAUUAACCGCGGAUCAUCCUUAACUCUUUCACAAUCCUCUGUGGAUACUGGCCGUUUCUCCUUGGAUGUUUGACUUCUUUCUCUUAAUUAUCUGCAUCCACUUUGUUCUUUCUCUGUAACAGGUGGAACACUGUUCAGUCAUUUAAAUUUCCUUAGCAAGCAGCAUUAGGAUAGUAAAAAAGAAAAUAUCUCAAUCUAUGAUGUGCAUUGGCUAAAUAUGAACAUUGUGAAAAAAGGUAAUAUAAACAAGAGGAAGGUGUAUUAUGGGGAAGGAAACUUUUAUCAGCAGCAAAUAAAUGUUCCAUCGCUCAUGUUGUUUCCUGAAGGUCAAGUGGAAACAAAUACCGGUACAAUGUGAAUAUGUGAUCUAAAGAAAGUCUCUGGGAGCAGAGAUAUGUCGGUUAAGAGAGGUAGUUCUUUAAGGGUUUGGCAAGGAUUUGGGUCUAUUGAGUUGAAGAAAGAGUCAUCGGAAGGGGUGGCUUUGGAGAUGCUCGCACUUUUUGCUCCAUACUUACUGAAACUUCUUUAUGUAUGUCAAAACAAAAUAACUGUUACGAUUUCCCUAUAGAUUUUAACAUAAUUAAAAGGGCUAGGCAAUGCCAUUGUGGAGCUGUAAGCUGUUUGAGCAGCUAAGAGAGAGUCUGGAUAUAAAAGCUCUUCUAUGGUGAAGAUGUAAUUUCUGUCUCAGCAUGAGUAGUAUGUUUUGAACUGAGAAAUCAGGUUAUAAUAAAUGUUUGCAUCUUAACAAUUUGGUAGACUCUCAAACUGGAUCGGGCUGUCAUAUUUCCGUCCUAAGGUAAAGGUUGAAUGUGCUUGAUCAUACUUAUGUUACCAUAUUAUCGAGACAAAAUAUGUGUUCGAUCAUACUCUGGCAAAAACAGGAAAUUAAGCUUCUCUUACCCCUUCUAAGUUAGAGGUUUAAUAUUAUAAAUCAUACUCCAGUGAAAGAAGGAAAUUAAGCUUCUCUUUCCACAAACUUCUAUCCUUUUUUGGAGAACUACUUUCUCGAACUUGCUUAACCAUACCGUUCAACAUGAAAUUUGUCAAGUAGUAACAACUUUUGAUGAACUAGAUAAUCGUGCAGUCAAUAUUUUUGACCAGGAAGUUAGCCUCUUCAUCCUUUCUUUUUUAUAAAUUUUUUGAACCGUCGUCUAAGUCGAUGUUGAAAUCAACUUCGAUAAUAGGUUACGAACAUUGACAGAGUACAUUGGAAGUUAAAUAUAUUUCCAAGCAGGGGACAUGGUGAAGAGAUUACAUGGAACCUGAGACUCUGCGUGAUGCAUGUCAGUUUCUUCAGAAAAAAAUUAGAGUUUUCUUUAAAGUAAUUAGGUAACCGACGCAUCACAGACCAAUUGUUAAAAGAUGAAGUCCUUACAGUUGUUUAGGAGGUGCAAGUGAGGUAGUCUCAGGUCAAUCAUGUUGUAUGUCAUGAAAAAGUGUAAAUUAGGUGAAAACUCGAGGCUUACAUUCCCAUGUAUCUAAUCAAAAUUGAAUAAAAGAAGAAAAACAUACCUAUAGAGCAGUUUGAUACACUAAGUUAUGGAUGGCUCAUUUUAAU